UUGAUUUGUCGAAUUGUUGAAAGCCGUUGCAAGCCGGCUGCCGCCAGCAAGAAAAUUAACGUUUAAAGGCGCAUGCAUUUAUUCGAGAGAUCGUGGCGAGACCUGCGCCCGCUUAUCGAUGAAUUUCGAAUUUAGAAACAUUCUCUUUG
Non-coding RNA from Caenorhabditis elegans, 149 nucleotides. The record is from Ensembl. Lineage: Eukaryota; Metazoa; Nematoda; Chromadorea; Rhabditida; Rhabditidae.